GAUGAACGCUGGCGGCGUGCUUAACACAUGCAAGUCGAACGGUGAAGCAGAGCUUGCUCUGUGGAUCAGUGGCGAACGGGUGAGUAACACGUGAGCAACCUGCCCCUGACUCUGGGAUAAGCGCUGGAAACGGCGUCUAAUACUGGAUAUGAGCUGCGACCGCAUGGUCAGCAGUUGGAAAGAUUUUUCGGUCUGGGAUGGGCUCACGGCCUAUCAGCUUGUUGGUGAGGUAAUGGCUCACCAAGGCGUCGACGGGUAGCCGGCCUGAGAGGGUGACCGGCCACACUGGGACUGAGACACGGCCCAGACUCCUACGGGAGGCAGCAGUGGGGAAUAUUGCACAAUGGGCGAAAGCCUGAUGCAGCAACGCCGCGUGAGGGAUGACGGCCUUCGGGUUGUAAACCUCUUUUAGCAGGGAAGAAGCGAAAGCGACGGUACCUGCAGAAAAAGCGCCGGCUAACUAC
RNAcentral lists this ribosomal RNA (464 nucleotides) under uncultured bacterium. Its description in RNAcentral is "partial 16S ribosomal RNA". It matches the Rfam family "Bacterial small subunit ribosomal RNA", at positions 28 to 504 of the family's 1533-position model. The record is from RNAcentral.